RNAcentral lists this ribosomal RNA (465 nucleotides) under uncultured bacterium. Its description in RNAcentral is "partial 16S ribosomal RNA". It matches the Rfam family "Bacterial small subunit ribosomal RNA", at positions 28 to 507 of the family's 1533-position model. The record is from RNAcentral.
GACGAACGCUGGCGGCGUGCUUAACACAUGCCAGUCGAACGGAAAGGCCCUGCUUGCAGGGUACUCGAGUGGCGAACGGGUGAGUAACACGUGGGUGAUCUGCCCUGCACUUCGGGAUAAGCUUGGGAAACUGGGUCUAAUACCGGAUAGGAGCCAUCUUUAGUGUGGUGGUUGGAAAGUUUUUUCGGUGUAGGAUGAGCUCGCGGCCUAUCAGCUUGUUGGUGGGGUAAUGGCCUACCAAGGCGGCGACGGGUAGCCGGCCUGAGAGGGUGUACGGCCACAUUGGGACUGAGAUACGGCCCAGACUCCUACGGGAGGCAGCAGUGGGGAAUAUUGCACAAGGGGCGCAAGCCUGAUGCAGCGACGCCGCGUGGGGGAUGAAGGCCUUCGGGUUGUAAACUCCUUUCGCUAGGGACGAAGCUUUUUGUGACGGUACCUAGAGAAGAAGCACCGGCUAACUACGUG